Molecule: long non-coding RNA, 455 nt
Organism: Galendromus occidentalis (western predatory mite)
Lineage: Eukaryota; Metazoa; Arthropoda; Arachnida; Mesostigmata; Phytoseiidae
Exons: 2
Source: RefSeq, a predicted model, not a curated record
CAGGAGGACCGCGACAUUCGCGAGCCAAGCGACUGCCGAUGAACAUGAGAUUCCUCGCUCAUAUCCUACGCCUUCUUCUACUGAUCUGUUUUCUGCAGGUCGCCCUUGCGAAGCAGUGCGGUCACCUGAAUCAGGCAUGUGAUGGCGUCAAGAUCAAGUGUUGCACGGGACAUGUGUGUCACAACAAGAAGUGCAUCUGAAAGCUCGUCCCGGUACUCAGACCACGACACCUGCACGGGUUCGAGUGUCCGGACACGCUUACGAUCGGACACUCGAAGCGGGCAUGCUUGUUAGAUCCUCUCCCGCAGGUGGAAUCGGCUGAGAAAUCGUCAGCUCCUGAAGCAUGAACACUUUCUUUCGUAUAAAAGGCCUUCAUAUCUCAAUCUUCAGCUUCACUCACGGCUUAUCAAUUUCGAGAGGCGGGUAAUGACGACAACCCUCUGAAACAAUCUAGU